CCCCUGGGUGUCCCCGUGCCACCCGGGGCUGGGGCGUCUGGGUGUCACCUGCCCCCUGGGGUGUCCCCAGGUCCCCUGGGUAUCCCCGUGUCCCCUGGGUGUCCCCCUGUGCCCUGGGGUGUCCCCGUGUCACCCUGGAUUGGGACAUUUUGGUGUCCCUUGGGUGUCCCCACGUCCCCUGGGGUGUCCCCAGGUCCCCUGGGUGUCCCCCUGUGCCCUGGGGUGUCCCCACGUCCCCUGGGGUGUCCCCACAUUACCCUAGGUUGGGACGUUCUGGCGUCCCCGUGUCACCCUGAGCGUCCCCGUGUCACCCUGAGCGUCCCCGUGUCACCCCGCGGCUGGGCCCGUCCCGCUGCCACCCUCGGCUGGGGACCUCUCGGUGUCCCCCGCGCUGUCCCCAGCGGGAGGGGACUCAGCGAGCCCAGCGGCUCCAAAAAGCUCCAAAAUCGGCUUUUUUUAUUACAAA
This 466-nucleotide long non-coding RNA is filed under the name Anser brachyrhynchus (Pink-footed goose). RNAcentral describes it as "lncRNA (ENSABRG00000001407.1)". Lineage: Eukaryota; Metazoa; Chordata; Aves; Anseriformes; Anatidae. The record is from RNAcentral.